GGGUCUGUAGCUCAGUGGUCAGAGCAGGUGACUCAUAAUCACUUGGUCGGGGGUUCGAAUCCCUCCAGGCCCA
This 73-nucleotide transfer RNA is filed under the name Phycisphaerales bacterium. RNAcentral's name for it is "tRNA-Ile". It matches the Rfam family "tRNA". From Rfam's summary of the family: Transfer RNA (tRNA) molecules are approximately 80 nucleotides in length. Their secondary structure includes four short double-helical elements and three loops (D, anti-codon, and T loops). The record is from RNAcentral. Lineage: Bacteria; Pseudomonadati; Planctomycetota; Phycisphaerae; Phycisphaerales.